Long non-coding RNA from Mesocricetus auratus (golden hamster), 262 nucleotides. RefSeq lists it as uncharacterized. The record is from RefSeq and is a predicted model, not a curated record. Lineage: Eukaryota; Metazoa; Chordata; Mammalia; Rodentia; Cricetidae. The transcript is spliced from 3 exons.
UCCUGGGUGGCUACCUUUCCCUCUUUUGAAAGUUGACUUAUUGGGCGUUGGUGGUGCACGCCUUUAAUCCCGGCACUUGGAGGCAGAGGCAGGCGGAUCUCUUCAUCCAUGUUAGUUGACCCAGUGUGUCAACUCUUGUGACAAAAUGCUGCAAUGGAAAGGAAGCAGGUGUCUCUUCAGCACGCUGACCCCCUUCCUCUUGAAUACUGUCCAGUGCUUGUUUAUAUGGUGGAUUACGUUGAUGGAUUUUCGUAUGCUGAAC